CCCUUUCAGUCCUGCUAUUGCUGCAAACUGAGUAUGAAAGAAGGCGACCCAGCCAUCUAUGCCGAAAGGGCUGGCUAUGAUAAACUGUGGCACCCAGCUUGUUUUGUGUGCAGCACCUGCCAUGAACUCCUGGUUGACAUGAUUUAUUUUUGGAAGAAUGAGAAGCUGUACUGUGGCAGACAUUACUGUGACAGCGAGAAACCCCGAUGUGCUGGCUGUGACGAGCUGAUAUUCAGCAAUGAGUAUACCCAGGCAGAGAACCAGAAUUGGCACCUGAAACACUUCUGCUGCUUUGACUGUGAUAGCAUUCUAGCUGGGGAGAUAUACGUGAUGGUCAAUGACAAGCCCGUGUGCAAGCCCUGCUAUGUGAAGAAUCACGCUGUGGUGAGAAAUGUUCUAAGGAUAUGGUUGCCUCAGGCUGCUUUAGGGCUUGAGUUUAUGCUUUUCUUAAAGCCUCUUACAAAUGGGAAACAGAAAGCACUCCUCCU
RNAcentral lists this small RNA (488 nucleotides) under Pongo abelii (Sumatran orangutan). RNAcentral describes it as "retained intron". Lineage: Eukaryota; Metazoa; Chordata; Mammalia; Primates; Hominidae. The record is from RNAcentral.